UACAGAGGUCUCAAGCGUUGUUCGGAUUCAUUGGGCGUAAAGGGUGCGUAGGCGGCGCGGUAAGUCGGGUGUGAAAUCUCGGAGCUUAACUCCGAAACUGCAUUCGAUACUGCCGUGCUUGAGGCCGGGAGAGGUGAGUGGAAUUCCCAGUGUAGCGGUGAAAUGCGUAGAUAUUGGGAGGAACACCAGUGGCGAAGGCGGCUCACUGGACCGGUUCUGACGCUGAUGCGCGAAAGCGUGGGGAGCAAACGGG
This 253-nucleotide ribosomal RNA is filed under the name uncultured bacterium. Its description in RNAcentral is "partial 16S ribosomal RNA". It matches the Rfam family "Bacterial small subunit ribosomal RNA", at positions 524 to 776 of the family's 1533-position model. The record is from RNAcentral.